GGGAAGAUGUUUCUCAGCAACAGUGCUACCCUGCUGGACAGCUGGUGAUUUUUACCAUAAAACAAGAUAGUAAUAAGGAUAGAAUGAGGACACCACCGGCUUUGCUCCAUCCCUUUGGGAAGACAGCACACCCAGAGCUCAAGUCUGCUGCUCAUUCUGGAAGGGGAGAUGUCCUGGGCCCAGGGUUUGGAAAUGUCUUCUUGGACAAGCUUAAGCCGGUCUCAUUGAAGAUUUUCAAUGGCCUUUCGGAAUUACGGGACUUACCCAGCUCUGCCAGGGUUUAUUAAUCCAGCCUAUAAGCUUCUCUAGACCUAGGACUAUGGUGCCUGCACAGAAGAUGUGCUCAACAUAUAACUGAUUAAAUAACUUAAUGAGUAAAUGAAGGACUGGACUCGUUUGUGGGCCAUAUUUGGAGGUGACUUUGAACUUGUCUGAGGCAACAAAGAGAGCAAAGAGAAAGAUAAAGAUGGAGUCCUCAAAGAAUAAACAUGAUUAAGAGCAGAGCCCACAGCUCCAGAUGUGAAAACCAUGACUCGAUUGUCAGUGAGGAGAGACUGGUCCCUGGGGUUUGCUGACCUCCCAGGGAGCAAUGCAUUUCAGAGAGCUGUCAGAGCAGUUUUCUUCUUUAAGCCCUGGUUUGUUAAUUAUUAUUUUUUAUUAUUUAAAAAAU
This 670-nucleotide long non-coding RNA is filed under the name Homo sapiens (human). Its description in RNAcentral is "non-protein coding lnc-PCTP-2:3". Lineage: Eukaryota; Metazoa; Chordata; Mammalia; Primates; Hominidae. The record is from RNAcentral.